GGGUCUGUAGCUCAGUUGGUUAGAGCGCGCCCCUGAUAAGGGUGAGGUCGGAGGUUCAAAUCCUCCCAGACCCACCA
RNAcentral lists this transfer RNA (77 nucleotides) under Lamellibrachia sp. endosymbiont. RNAcentral describes it as "tRNA-Ile". It matches the Rfam family "tRNA". From Rfam's summary of the family: Transfer RNA (tRNA) molecules are approximately 80 nucleotides in length. Their secondary structure includes four short double-helical elements and three loops (D, anti-codon, and T loops). RNAcentral also lists the same sequence under 3 other names. Lineage: Bacteria; Pseudomonadati; Pseudomonadota; Gammaproteobacteria. The record is from RNAcentral.